Molecule: ribosomal RNA, 585 nt
Filed under: Triticum aestivum (bread wheat)
Lineage: Eukaryota; Viridiplantae; Streptophyta; Magnoliopsida; Poales; Poaceae
Description: partial small subunit ribosomal RNA
Source: RNAcentral
AUGAUGCUGGGCGCGGAGGCGGUGUGGCUCGACCUGCCCCCCACGGGAACCAAGUGCGUCUCCGAGGAGAUCCAGCCCAACGUGGUGGUGGUCGCGGACUACAUGCUCAUGUACGAGGCCCACGCCACCGCCCACCCCACCGUCGCCGUCAAGGUUACCUCACCGUAUGGCAAUACUGUACAUCACAAAGAAAAUGCCACAGUGGGCCAAUUUGCAUUUACAACUUCAGAAGCUGGAAACUACCUUGCUUGCUUCUGGCUAGACAGCGCAGAGAAAGGAUCAGGAGUAUCUCUAAAUCUUGAUUGGAAGAUAGGGAUUGCGACAAAGGACUGGGACUCUGUUGCCAAGAAGGAGAAAAUUGAGGGUGUUGAAUUAGAGCUCGCGAAACUUGAAGCUGCAGUGGAAUCCAUUCAUCAUAACUUGUUAUAUCUCAAAGCAAGGGAAGCGGAGAUGCGGGAAGUGAGUGAGAAAACAAAUUCAAGGGUUGCCUGGUUCAGCAUCUUGUCACUGGGCGUGUGCGUUGUGGUCUCCGCUCUGCAGCUAUGGCAUUUGCAAGGAUUCUUCCAGAAGAAGAAGCUCAUCUGA